UACAUGGGGUGCAAACGUUGCUCGGAAUUAUUGGGCGUAAAGCGCGCGUAGGCGGUUAUCUAAGUCGGAUGUGAAAGCCCUCGGCUUAACUGAGGAAGUGCACCCGAAACUGGAUAGCUAGAGUACGAAAGAGGAUCGCGGAAUUCCCGGUGUAGAGGUGAAAUUCGUAGAUAUCGGGUGGAACACCAGUGGCGAAGGCGGCGAUCUGGGAAGAUACUGACGCUGAGGUGCGAAAGCGUGGGGAGCAAACAGG
Molecule: ribosomal RNA, 253 nt
Filed under: uncultured prokaryote
Description: partial 16S ribosomal RNA
Rfam family: Bacterial small subunit ribosomal RNA
Source: RNAcentral